Molecule: ribosomal RNA, 229 nt
Filed under: uncultured bacterium
Lineage: Bacteria
Description: partial 16S ribosomal RNA
Rfam family: Bacterial small subunit ribosomal RNA
Source: RNAcentral
UGCGCAGGCGGACUUUUAAGUCAGUGGUGAAAUCCCGAGGCUCAACCUCGGAACUGCCAUUGAUACUGGAAGUCUUGAAUUUGGUCGAAGUGGGCGGAAUGUAGCAUGUAGCGGUGAAAUGCUUAGAUAUGCUACAGAACACCGAUCGCGAAGGCAGCUCACUAAGCCAAUAUUGACGCUCAGGCACGAAAGCGUGGGGAGCGAACAGGAUUAGAUACCCUGGUAGUCC